RNAcentral lists this ribosomal RNA (278 nucleotides) under uncultured Staphylococcus sp. Its description in RNAcentral is "partial 16S ribosomal RNA". It matches the Rfam family "Bacterial small subunit ribosomal RNA", at positions 83 to 355 of the family's 1533-position model. Lineage: Bacteria; Bacillati; Bacillota; Bacilli; Caryophanales; Staphylococcaceae. The record is from RNAcentral.
CCUUUGACGUUAGCGGCGGACGGGUGAGUAACACGUGGGUAACCUACCUAUAAGACUGGGAUAACUUCGGGAAACCGGAGCUAAUACCGGAUAAUAUUUCGAACCGCAUGGUUCGAUAGUGAAAGAUGGUUUUGCUAUCACUUAUAGAUGGACCCGCGCCGUAUUAGCUAGUUGGUAAGGUAACGGCUUACCAAGGCGACGAUACGUAGCCGACCUGAGAGGGUGAUCGGCCACACUGGAACUGAGACACGGUCAGACUCCUACGGGAGGCAGCAGCC